This 253-nucleotide ribosomal RNA is filed under the name uncultured bacterium. RNAcentral's name for it is "partial 16S ribosomal RNA". It matches the Rfam family "Bacterial small subunit ribosomal RNA", at positions 524 to 776 of the family's 1533-position model. The record is from RNAcentral.
UACGUAGGCAGCGAGCGUUGUUCGGAAUUACUGGGCGUAAAGGGCGUGUAGGUGGUUUCGUAAGUCUGGCGUGAAAUAUCUCGGCUUAACCGAGGCAGGUCGUCGGAUACUGCGGGACUAGAGGACGGUAGAGGCGUGUGGAAUUCCGGGUGUAGUGGUGAAAUGCGUAGAGAUCCGGAGGAACACCAGUGGCGAAGGCGACACGCUGGGCCGUACCUGACACUGAUGCGCGACAGCAUGGGGAGCAAACAGG